CAGCAGCCGCGGGAAUACGUAGGGUGCAAGCGUUAAUCGGAAUUACUGGGCGUAAAGCGUGCGCAGGCGGUUUCGUAAGACAGAUGUGAAAUCCCCGGGCUUAACCUGGGAACUGCAUUUGUGACUGCGAGGCUAGAGUGUGUCAGAGGGGGGUGGAAUUCCACGUGUAGCAGUGAAAUGCGCAGAUAUGUGGAGGAACACCGAUGGCGAAGGCAGCCCCCUGGGAUAACACUGACGCUCAUGCACGAAAGCGUGGGGAGCAAACAGGAUUAGAUACCCCAGUAGUCCCUGUCUCUUAUAC
RNAcentral lists this ribosomal RNA (301 nucleotides) under uncultured bacterium. RNAcentral describes it as "partial 16S ribosomal RNA". It matches the Rfam family "Bacterial small subunit ribosomal RNA", at positions 509 to 807 of the family's 1533-position model. The record is from RNAcentral.